AUGCACGCUGGCGGCGUGCCUAAUACCUGCAAGUCGAGCGAACGGACGAGAAGCUUGCUUCUCUGAUGUUAGCGGCGGACCGGUGAGUAACACGUGGAUAACCUACCUAUAAGACUGGGAUCACUUCGGGAAACCGGAGCUCAUCCCGGAUAAUAUUUUGAACCGCAUGGUUCAAAAGUGAAAGACGGUCUUGCUGUCACUUAUAGAUGGAUCCGCGCUGCAUUAGCUAGUUGGUAAGGUAACGGCUUACCAAGGCAACGAUGCAUAGCCGACCUGAGAGGGUGAGCGGCCACACUGGAACUGAGACACGGUCCAGACUCCUACGGGAGGCAGCAGUAGGGAAUCUUCCGCAAUGGGCGAAAGCCUGACGGAGCAACGCCGCGUGAGUGAUGAAGGUCUUCGGAUCGUAAAACUCUGUUAUUAGGGAAGAACAUAUGUGUAAGUAACUGUGCACAUCUUGACGGUACCUAAUCAGAAAGCCACGGCUAACUACGUG
Molecule: ribosomal RNA, 496 nt
Filed under: uncultured bacterium
Lineage: Bacteria
Description: partial 16S ribosomal RNA
Rfam family: Bacterial small subunit ribosomal RNA
Source: RNAcentral